This 546-nucleotide ribosomal RNA is filed under the name uncultured Bacteroidota bacterium. RNAcentral's name for it is "bacterial SSU rRNA". It matches the Rfam family "Bacterial small subunit ribosomal RNA", at positions 74 to 616 of the family's 1533-position model. The record is from RNAcentral. Lineage: Bacteria; Pseudomonadati; Bacteroidota.
GGUAGCUUGCUACUUGCUGACGACCGGCGCACGGGUGCGUAACGCGUAUACAAUCUGCCUUAUACAGAGGGAUAGCCUUUAGAAAUGAAGAUUAAUACCUCAUGGUCUAUUAAUAUAGCAUUAUAUAAAUAGUAAAGCUUCGGCGGUAUAAGAUGAGUAUGCGUCCUAUUAGUUAGUUGGUAAGGUAACGGCUUACCAAGACAACGAUAGGUAGGGGCCCUGAGAGGGGGAUCCCCCACACUGGUACUGAGACACGGACCAGACUCCUACGGGAGGCAGCAGUGAGGAACAUUGGACAAUGGAGGUAACUCUGAUCCAGCCAUUCCGCGUGCAGGAAGACGGCCCUAUGGGUUGUAAACUGCUUUUAUAUAGGAAGAAACCUUUUCACGUGUGAGAAGCUGACGGUACUAUAAGAAUAAGGACCGGCUAACUCCGUGCCAGCAGCCGCGGUAAUACGGAGGGUCCGAGCGUUAUCCGGAAUCAUUGGGUUUAAAGGGUCCGUAGGCGGGAAUCUAAGUCAGUGGUGAAAUCUUACAGCUCAACUGU